AGAAUCAACGCUGGCGGCGUGCCUAACACAUGCAAGUCGAACGAGAAAGUGGAGCAAUCCAUUAGUAAAGUGGCGCACGGGUGAGUAACACGUGACUAACCUACCUUUUAGUGGGGGAUAACCUAGGGAAACCUGGGCUAAUACCGCAUAAUACCUACGGGUCAAAGCAGCAAUGCGCUGAAAGAGGGGGUCGCGGUCGAUUAGUUAGUUGGCAGGGUAAUGGCCUACCAAGACUGUGAUCGAUAUCCGGCCUGAGAGGGCGCACGGACACACUGGAACUGAAACACGGUCCAGACUCCUACGGGAGGCAGCAGUGGGGAAUUUUGCGCAAUGGGGGAAACCCUGACGCAGCAACGCCGCGUGGAGGAUGAAGUCCCUUGGGACGUAAACUCCUUUCGAUCGGGACGAUAAUGACGGUACCGGAAGAAGAAGCCCGGCUAACUCGUGCCAGCAGCCGC
RNAcentral lists this ribosomal RNA (458 nucleotides) under uncultured bacterium. RNAcentral's name for it is "SSU rRNA". It matches the Rfam family "Bacterial small subunit ribosomal RNA", at positions 26 to 518 of the family's 1533-position model. The record is from RNAcentral.